GAUGAACGCUGGCGGCGUGCCUAAUACAUGCAAGUCGAGCGAACAGACGAGGAGCUUGCUCCUCUGACGUUAGCGGCGGACGGGUGAGUAACACGUGGAUAACCUACCUAUAAGACUGGGAUAACUUCGGGAAACCGGAGCUAAUACCGGAUAAUAUAUUGAACCGCAUGGUUCAAUAGUGAAAGACGGUUUUGCUGUCACUUAUAGAUGGAUCCGCGCCGCAUUAGCUAGUUGGUAAGGUAACGGCUUACCAAGGCGACGAUGCGUAGCCGACCUGAGAGGGUGAUCGGCCACACUGGAACUGAGACACGGUCCAGACUCCUACGGGAGGCAGCAGUAGGGAAUCUUCCGCAAUGGGCGAAAGCCUGACGGAGCAACGCCGCGUGAGUGAUGAAGGUCUUCGGAUCGUAAAACGCUGUUAUUAGGGAAGAACAAAUGUGUAAGUAACUAUGCACGUCUUGACGGUACCGAAGCAGAAAGCCACGGCCAACUACGU
This 496-nucleotide ribosomal RNA is filed under the name uncultured bacterium. RNAcentral describes it as "partial 16S ribosomal RNA". It matches the Rfam family "Bacterial small subunit ribosomal RNA", at positions 28 to 506 of the family's 1533-position model. The record is from RNAcentral.